CGCACGGGUGAGUAACACGUAUGCAAUCCACCUGUAACAGGGGGAUAACCCGGAGAAAUCCGGACUAAUACCCCAUAAUAUGGGCGCUCCGCAUGGAGAGCCCAUUAAAGAGAGCAAUUUUGGUUACAGACGAGCAUGCGCUCCAUUAGCCAGUUGGCGGGUAACGGCCCACCAAAGCGACGAUGGAUAGGGGUUCUGAGAGGAAGGUCCCCCACAUUGGAACUGAGACACGGUCCAA
Molecule: ribosomal RNA, 238 nt
Filed under: uncultured bacterium
Lineage: Bacteria
Description: partial 16S ribosomal RNA
Rfam family: Bacterial small subunit ribosomal RNA
Source: RNAcentral